Molecule: ribosomal RNA, 253 nt
Filed under: uncultured bacterium
Lineage: Bacteria
Description: partial 16S ribosomal RNA
Rfam family: Bacterial small subunit ribosomal RNA
Source: RNAcentral
UACGUAGGGUGCAAGCGUUGUCCGGAAUUAUUGGGCGUAAAGAGCUCGUAGGCGGUCUGUCACGUCGGCUGUGAAAUCCCGAGGCUCAACCUCGGGUCUGCAGUCGAUACGGGCAAACUAGAGUAUUGCAGGGGAGACUGGAAUUCCUGGUGUAGCGGUGAAAUGCGCAGAUAUCAGGAGGAACACCGGUGGCGAAGGCGGGUCUCUGGGCAAUAACUGACGCUGAGGAGCGAAAGCGUGGGUAGCAAACAGG